RNAcentral lists this ribosomal RNA (515 nucleotides) under Elmoia saxatilis. RNAcentral's name for it is "partial 16S ribosomal RNA". It matches the Rfam family "Bacterial large subunit ribosomal RNA", at positions 1816 to 2596 of the family's 2925-position model. Lineage: Eukaryota; Metazoa; Arthropoda; Insecta; Diptera; Dolichopodidae. The record is from RNAcentral.
CAUGUCUUUUUGUAUUUAAUAUAAAGUCUAAUCUGCCCACUGAUAUAUUUAUUAAAUGGCCGCAGUAUUUUAACUGUGCAAAGGUAGCAUAAUCAGUAGUCUUUUAAUUGAAGACUUGUAUGAAUGAUUGAACGAAAUAUAAACUGUCUUAAAAAAAGUAAUUUGAAUUUUAUUUUUUAGUCAAAAAGCUAAACUAAUUUUAAAAGACGAGAAGACCCUAUAGAUCUUUAUAAAAAUAUUAUUUAUUUUUUAAAGUUUAUAAUUUAAAUUUAUAUUUAUUUUUAUUUUAUUGGGGUGAUAUUGAAAUUUAAUUAACUUUCAUUAGUUAUUAAACAUUAAUUUAUGAAUGAUUGAUCCUUUAUUAUUGAUUAAAAAUUUAAGUUACCUUAGGGAUAACAGCGUAAUUAUUUUGGAGAGUUCUUAUUGAUAAAAUAGAUUGCGACCUCGAUGUUGGAUUAAGAUUAAUUCUGGGUGUAGCAGUUCAGAGUAUUAAGUCUGUUCGACUUUUAAUUUCU